This 678-nucleotide ribosomal RNA is filed under the name uncultured Glomus. RNAcentral describes it as "SSU rRNA". It matches the Rfam family "Eukaryotic small subunit ribosomal RNA", at positions 339 to 1022 of the family's 1831-position model. Lineage: Eukaryota; Fungi; Glomeromycota; Glomeromycetes; Glomerales; Glomeraceae. The record is from RNAcentral.
GCCUACCAUGGUUUUAACGGGUAACGGGGAAUUAGGGUUCGAUUCCGGAGAGGGAGCCUGAGAAACGGCUACCACAUCCAAGGAGGCAGCAGGCGCGCAAAUUACCCAAUCCCGAUACGGGGAGGUAGUGACAAAUAAAUAACAAAUACAAGGGCUUUAUAGUCUGUAAUUGGAAUGGGUACGAUUCAAAAUCUCUUAACGAGGAACAAUUGGAGGGCAAGUCUGGUGCCAGCAGCCGCGGUAAUUCCAGCUCCAAUAGCGUAUAUUAAAGUUGUUGCAGUUAAAAAGCUCGUAGUUGAAUUUCGGGAUUAGUACGUUGGCCGUGCCUUAGGUACGUACUGGUGUUACUGGUUCCUACCUUCUGACGAACCAUCAUGUCAUUAAUUUGGUGUGGCGGGGAAUCAGGACUGUUACUUUGAAAAAAUUAGAGUGUUUAAAGCAGGCUCGCGCUUGAAUACAUUAGCAUGGAAUAAUGAAAUAGGACGUUGACCCUAUUUUGUUGGUUUCUAGGAUUGACGUAAUGAUUAAUAGGGAUAGUUGGGGGCAUUAGUAUUCAAUUGUCAGAGGUGAAAUUCUUGGAUUUAUUGAAGACUAACUACUGCGAAAGCAUUUGCCAAGGAUGUUUUCAUUAAUCAAGAACGAAAGUUAGGGGAUCGAAGACGAUCAGAUACCGUCGUA